Lepidothrix coronata (blue-crowned manakin) is the source of this 2464-nucleotide long non-coding RNA. RefSeq lists it as uncharacterized. NCBI's taxonomy places the organism in Eukaryota, Metazoa, Chordata, Aves, Passeriformes, Pipridae. The transcript is spliced from 4 exons. The record is from RefSeq and is a predicted model, not a curated record.
CGCUCCAGGGGUGCUGGCAGCGUCACGGCCCUGGGAAGCGGGAGGAAGGCUGGGCGGGAAUAUCCCUUUGGAAUGCUUUAGGGGGAUGGGGCCUGUGAAAACCUGGGUCAGUGGGUCAUGGACCCACCCGUGACCGAGCAACCUGCCUGCCCUGGGACAGCCCUCUGCAGUUACCAGUACUUUUGACUCCGAGGAAUGCAAGGCCUGUCGGCACGAAGCGGGUGUGGCUCCGGUGCGUGGCUGUGGGCGGACAGCACUCAGGCUGUUGUGGCACCUGUGUUCCUGUGAGCAUGGAUGAACUCUUACAUCGUCUAGGACUUUGUGACCUUGCAACAAUGGACGCAGAGAUUUGAUUUAGAGCAUUCUGUGAAAUGACUUCUGUGAAAUGAUGCAUGCUACAGACUUCACAGGAUCCACAUCAUUGCUGGUUUUGAGGAAAAAACAAGGCCCCAUCUACAGUUUUUAUUUGCAUAAUGCUGCUUCCCAUGCAGAAGGUUGCCAAGAAAACAGAGCAUGAAACCUGUCACAGAAAUGCAACAAAGAGGAUUCAGGGGCUUUAUUUUCAAGUAGAUCUGAACCGAUUUCAAUGUAUUUCAUUGCCAUAAAAAUCAAAAUAGAAAUGUUCUUAGUGUUUAGGUUUGUUAUUAAUAUUUCUCUUAAUCGUGUGCCAAUUUUAAGGAAAGGAGCAAAUAGUAGAAAAAAAUGUAGCAGGUAAGAACAUACAUUAGGCCCAGUAACAAAACCAGCUACCCACAACCACAAUCUUCUCUUGACAUAGCAGCUUUUUAGUACAGUUCUUCAAGGCUGUUUCUGUUCUCAGUUAUCACAGCUUUAAUAUAACUUACAAUCACUUCCUAGAGACUUAGUUAUCCGGAUUUUACGGAGCGUUAUCUGCUUUAGGGAAAACCAGAAUGCUGCAUACAGUAAUCUGUCGUGCAAGAGCAAGAGCAGCUGGUGUAGCUUACAUAAAGUGGCAAAUAGCCCAAUGCAAUAAAAUGUGAGCAUGUUCAUAGCAAGAGCAACUAUUGGCCUAGAACAGAUGCCAGAAUAUGUUUCUGUUUGGAUCACAAAUAAAAUUAUCUGUUUAUCUUCUGUCAUAAUGAAAAUAAAACAACAGGAUUCCAUUUCCUUAAAUUUGGGGGUGACAGAUUAUCUUCAAAAUUUAACUUUUCUUUUUUUUUGUUGUUCUUUGUUUUACAUAUAGUUAGUGCUCCCAGUUACAAGAUCUGGGUUAUCACAUAGAUCUAAGCAAGCUGAAAUCCAAUUGGUUAAUUUAUCUAUCAAUCACCUUAUCACCUUAGCUGUGGCUUUGGAGGGAGGGUUGUUUCUUUCUUUUGGGGUGGGGUUUUUAUUCUGUUCUGGGGUUUUUUUACAUAAAAGCAGAACUAGCUAAGUGGAACACAGAAUCAGUAAGGGGUAUUUGUGGUUUUGGUUCUUUUGUUUUGGGUUUGUUUUUUUAAAGGAAGGAGAUUUUCUAUUCAAGCAUUUAGUUCCUGUCUCACACAGUUUAUUCUUUUUCUACUAGUUGUACUGCAAUAACAUUAACCACCAGCUGUACUUGUAUCACAAAUGACUAAAUGCUCUGCCUGUGUAUUACUAAAAGCACAUAGGAAGAAGGCUGGAACUAGUCGGCAUCCUAGCUUCAAACAUAUAGUAACUGAUAGUACAGCAAAGAUUCCUGUGGUAGAGAUGAGAGACAAGAUAUGACCUCCUUAAGACUUCUGAAGCUAUUGAAAUACAGACUAAAAAUAGUAGCAGUGAUCUCCAUCACAUCAGGACCCAUCCUGUCCAUGGGCUUAGCAGCAAUUUUAUCACUAACUGAAGGGUGGGCAGUCUGAUGUGCUGUUUUCCAUAUGGCUCCAUCAGAAAGAUGAUCUUAUGAAGACUCUAGAUGCUGUCGUAAGAGCUCAGUAGUUUCUCCUGUUGAGAAGGCAUUUACAAAUCCCCUUUAAGGCUGUAUUUUCUCUCUUUUAUCUCUUUUUAAAACUACAUCACUUAGGUACUGCAAGAGUAUCAGGUCCCCACUUUCUACUCAAAGGGCCCUGCCAGAAAUGUUUAGUGUUUCAAAGAAUUAGUCCCUUAAAAGUCUUAUUUUCCUCGUCGUUGAAAGCAACACAAACUGUAGGCCCACAAAUACAUGUAGCCAGAGUUUUCAAUCAACUCUGCCUGUAAGCCACUGACUAGUUAUUUGCUGAGGAGUGCAAUCCCUCCACAGGUCAAUAUUAACAGGUAUGAGAUAGGAAGGAUCUAGGGAAAGCAAAGUGGCUGCUUUGGUUCAUUUUCUCCAUCUUUUUGUGGGCAAAAUUGUAAUGGUACUAAAACAUAACCUUUUACAUAGUAGUAACAGCAGUAGCAUGGCUUAACUAUAUGUGACAGCCACAGUGACUCUUCAUGCAAUAUGUUUAAUGAUCUGUGUUUAAUGAGAGCUGAGACACUUCCUGGAAGCUGUCCAGAACAGUCCUCC